GGUGACAAACCGGAGGAAGGUGGGGAUGACGUCAAGUCAUCAUGGCCCUUAUGUCCAGGGCUACACACGUGCUACAAUGGGUGAGACAGAGUGACGCGAAGCCGCGAGGUGGAGCAAAUCGCAGAAAAUCAUCCGUAGUUCGGAUUGGAGUCUGAAACCCGACUCCAUGAAGGUGGAAUCGCUAGUAAUCGCGCAUCAGCAUGGCGCGGUGAAUACGUUCCCGGGCCUU
Molecule: ribosomal RNA, 229 nt
Filed under: uncultured Spirochaetaceae bacterium
Lineage: Bacteria; Pseudomonadati; Spirochaetota; Spirochaetia; Spirochaetales; Spirochaetaceae
Description: partial 16S ribosomal RNA
Rfam family: Bacterial small subunit ribosomal RNA
Source: RNAcentral